GCAGGUCAGUCUUGGUGAGAGGCAGGUCAGUCUUGAUGAGAGGCAGGUCAGUCUUGAUGAGAGGCAGGAUAGUCUUGAUGAGAGGCAGGUCAGUCUUGAUGAGAGGCAGAUCAGUCUUGAUGAGAGGCAGGACAGUCUUGAUGAGAGGCAGGGCAGUCUUGGUGAGAGGCAGGUCAGUCUUGAUGAGAGGCAGAUCAGUCUUGGUGAGAGGCAGGUCAGUCUUGGUGAGAGGCAGGUCAGUCUUGAUGAGAGGCAGGUCAGUAUUCCAUGACCCCGACAGACAGUGACCCAAGUGGCUCCUUAAUCUCCAAAUAGUGCACUGCUGGUGAACCCCAUAGGGCUCCGGUCAAAAGUAGUGC
This is a long non-coding RNA of Esox lucius (northern pike), 359 nucleotides long. The record is from Ensembl. Lineage: Eukaryota; Metazoa; Chordata; Actinopteri; Esociformes; Esocidae.